RNAcentral lists this ribosomal RNA (253 nucleotides) under uncultured bacterium. RNAcentral's name for it is "partial 16S ribosomal RNA". It matches the Rfam family "Archaeal small subunit ribosomal RNA", at positions 474 to 727 of the family's 1478-position model. The record is from RNAcentral.
UACCAGCCCCCCGAGUGGUCGGGACGAUUAUUGGGCCUAAAGCAUCCGUAGCCGGUUUUACAAGUCCUCCGUUAAAUCCAGCUGCUUAACAGAUGGGCUGCGGAGGAUACUAUAAGACUAGGAGGCAGGAGAGGCAAGCGGUACUCAGUGGGUAGGGGUAAAAUCCGUUGAUCCAUUGAAGACCACCAGUGGCGAAGGCGGCUUGCCAGAAUGCGCUCGACGGUGAGGGAUGAAAGCUGGGGGAGCAAACCGG